Molecule: ribosomal RNA, 301 nt
Filed under: uncultured bacterium
Lineage: Bacteria
Description: partial 16S ribosomal RNA
Rfam family: Bacterial small subunit ribosomal RNA
Source: RNAcentral
CAGCAGCCACGGGAAAACGGAGGGAGCUAGCGUUGUUCGGAAUUACUGGGCGUAAAGCGCGCGUAGGCGGUUACUCAAGUCAGAGGUGAAAGCCCGGGGCUCAACCCCGGAACUGCCUUUGAAACUAGGUGACUAGAAUCUUGGAGAGGUUAGUGGAAUUGCGAGUGUAGAGGUGAAAUUCGUAGAUAUUCGCAGGAACACCAGUGGCGAAGGCGGCUAACUGGUCCAUAACUGACGCUGAGGUGCGAAAGCGUGGGGAGCAAACAGGAUUAGAUACCCCCGUAGUCCUGUCUCUUAUACA